Molecule: ribosomal RNA, 594 nt
Filed under: Triticum aestivum (bread wheat)
Lineage: Eukaryota; Viridiplantae; Streptophyta; Magnoliopsida; Poales; Poaceae
Description: partial small subunit ribosomal RNA
Source: RNAcentral
AUGAUAGGUGACCUCAAUGAGAUUUAGUUUAUCCAUGAAAAAGAUGGGGGCAAUCCUCGCCCUACUCAAUAUAUGCAAGCUUUUCAGGAUGCUAUUGGGGACUGUGAACUUCAUGAUCUAGGAUUUCUUGGUGAUAGGUUUACUUGGCGAAGAGGAAGGAUACAUGAGAGAUUAGGUAGAGGCCUUAUAAAUGAUACAUGGGCAAAUCUAUUCCCUCACGAGGCCUUGGAGAACUUGGAAUAUAAUCAUUCUGAUCACCGGCCGCUCCUGGUAAACACAGACUACUAUGAUGGUAUGGGAAAUAGUAGUGGUUGUGCGUGCCCAAAGAUAUUUGAAGCGAGAUGGUUUUGUGAAAAAGAAUUCUAUAAUCUGGUCACGGAAGCUUGGGAGGAAGCGGGUGAAACACCGGGACUGUUAGAUAUAGCUGCGAAGUUAAACUUGAUGCAUGCUAAAUUCCAUGAUUGGGAUCAGCGAGUAUUGAAGAAGCCAAAGAAAAGAUUAUGCCAAGCUCAAAAGGAGUUGGAGAAGGUGAUGGCAGGCCCGAUGGAUGAUGAGUCUGACACAAAAAAGAAGGAAUUGGCUGAGUUUUUUUGA